Molecule: transfer RNA, 69 nt
Filed under: Marmota monax (woodchuck)
Lineage: Eukaryota; Metazoa; Chordata; Mammalia; Rodentia; Sciuridae
Also listed under: 1 other name
Rfam family: tRNA
About the family: Transfer RNA (tRNA) molecules are approximately 80 nucleotides in length. Their secondary structure includes four short double-helical elements and three loops (D, anti-codon, and T loops).
Source: Rfam by way of RNAcentral
GGGGUUGUAGCUCAGUGGUAGAACACUUGCCUCGCAAUCAUGAGGCCCUGGGUUCGAUCCUCAGCACCA